GCCCCUUUUUAGCAACAGCCAAUGCGUGCAUCAAUUGUAGAACAGGGGUAAUGAACAUAUCAUUUGGGAACAUGAAGGUAAAAUUAAAUGUGUUCAAUGCGGCCGACCAACCCGCGAGGGAAGUUGAGUGUUUUAUGAUAGACAAAAUAGAUGACCUCAUAGAAGGAGAUGCAAAAACUACCUCACUAUGUCUGGCUGAAGACAAUAAACUUAGCGCUUGUUGGGAGGCAACCCAAUUCUCUUAGAUUUCUUUAACAUUGAGGACAAUGUUAGGUUUAGGUUUGGGGAUAUUUUUAAGUAUUUUUAAUCAUUUUUUGUUUUGUUUGCAUCUCUUGCAUCCGUUUUCACUUCAUAAUGUCAGGUUUAUCACUUCAUAAUGUCAGGUUUAUCAA
Molecule: long non-coding RNA, 392 nt
Filed under: Phoenix dactylifera (date palm)
Lineage: Eukaryota; Viridiplantae; Streptophyta; Magnoliopsida; Arecales; Arecaceae
Description: long non-coding RNA (PDAC_LNC009829)
Source: RNAcentral